This is a non-coding RNA of Ahaetulla prasina, 456 nucleotides long. NCBI's taxonomy places the organism in Eukaryota, Metazoa, Chordata, Lepidosauria, Squamata, Colubridae. The record is from the annotation of a RefSeq genome assembly.
GAGCCAAUCAACCAAGUAGCCGCAAGAAAAUAAAACAGAACUGGAAAUAUGCUUCUUUGGACUUUCCUCUUGUUCCUUAUUCAUCUUUCAGGCUGCCAUGCAGAGGUGAAGUUGGUGGAGACUGGAGGGGGUGUGGUAAUCCCUGAAGGUUCCAUCCGCCUAACCUGUAAAGCAUCUGGAUUCACCUUUAGUAACUAUACAAUGCACUGGAUCCGACAGUCUCCAGGAAAAGGACUGGAGUGGGUGGCAGAAGUUAGCAAACCAGAAGGGACUAAACAGUGGUAUAACUCCAAAGUGGAAGGAAGAUUCACCAUCUCCAGAGACAAUUCCCAGACUUCAGCUUAUCUCCAAAUGAACAAUUUGAAGCCUGAAGACUCUGGCUUGUAUUACUGCGCAAGGAGACACAGUGAUUCCAUCUGCUUUCCUCCUUGUACAAUUACUCCAGGGGUCCCUUGA